GUCUUUUUAGGGCUGCACCUGUGGCAUACAGAAGUUCCCAGGCUAGGAUCUAAUUGGAACUAUAGCUGCCUGCCUACAUCACAGCCACAGCAACUCCAGCUCUGAGCCAGGUUUCCAAUCUACACCACAGCUCACAGCAGCACUGGAUCCUUGGCUCACUGAGCAAGACCAGGGAUCAAACCCACAGGGAGAGAGGAAGAGUGACAGAGAAUCUACUCAUGCAAAAACUAUUUAAUCAAAGAGGAAAGACAAUUAUAACAUAUGUUAAUCUUCUGCAGAGGUUAUAAUUAAAUGCUUUGGAGAACCACCCUUUCCAGGGUGAUCCUCCAACAUCUGUUGUGAAGACACAUGGCACUGUGCAGUGAAAAACCACUUCAGCACUUGGGGGACUUCUGGGGACCUCAGGCACUGCCAGGGUCCUUGUGCUUGAAGCCCAGACCCACUCCCACUGUCCUGUAGGAGGUGCUUUGCUCCUGAGUGCUCUUCCAGAUUGUCCCUGCUGUGCGUCACAUUGCAGUCACCAUGUGUUCAAACAGGAUCUCAGGGCCAGAAGUGGUCUUGUGACUAUCUGAUCCCUUUCCCUUCAUGUUUGCAGAUGGGGCUACUUGAUCCUAUGUCCUAGAGCUGGCUUGCCCUACAGCAGGGCUGUUUAAUUCUCUGUGGAGAUUUCACUCUACUCCACCAUGCCCCACUUGCUCUGGCGUUUUUUUUCUUACGUUGGCUUGGAAUUUGGAUGUGUUCUUUGUUUAACAGGAUCAGCAUUAUAAUGAGGUCCUAGGGUAUUUGAAGUUUGUGGAGAGGUAGACAGAUGAAAUGAUUCUCUUCUCCAUCAUGUGGUCCAUCGCCAGUGAGAAACAUGGACUAUCAUCACUAUUCCUCUACUUGGCUUUCUGGAGAGUAGGAGAGAAAGGAGAGGUGACUUAAGAUAAAGAAGGAGAAAAGAAAAAAAAAGGAUGAGAAAACAGGAGGCUAUGGGAAGAGAGAAGAUUGAGAGAUACAAGGACAGAGAGGGAGGGUGGGAUAAAGAGAGAGAGAGAUGGGGAAGAGGGCAAGAAGAGCUAGGGAAGCUGGUCCAGGGAUGCAGGAAAAGGGCAUCAAAUUAAGACGCCAUCAAAAGGAGCUGAACACACUUUAUACCCAUUCUACUUCAACACCUACUUCCACUGUAUCUCAAAUAUGCAGUUCUAUGCACACUGAAGACCACAGGAUUUGGCAGUUUUGCCAAACAAAAGGCAGAGAUGAUAAAGCUGUGACAUCACAUAAGCAGACACAAGGUGUCAAAUAAUGAAAAAUAGGCCCACAUGGUAAGAACAUGAUAAAUGUAUUCACAGCCCAGGAGAAAUAGGGGUGGGCAGUCUCCUUGGUAGCUCUUUGGGGCUGCAGUUACUGGUAUGUGCCAAAAUGCCCAGUAAAUGGGGUUCUUGACAAUUGGCCUUGGGCUGAAACAACAAGUCACAUGGUGCUGAUGUCAGCCCUCUCAUUUCCCUUCAACAAUCCACUGCAUACAAGGGCCCACCAUGUCUUCAACGAUAAGGACCCUAUAACGAUGGUAAGGACCACCACAUAUUGCAAGUCUGACUUUGUGUGGCUACUUUAUCUCAUUUAAUCCUCACAAUGAUAAGGAGGUAAUAUAAUCUCAACAUCUGGCUCAUAGUCUUACUGUGCAAUCUGAAACAAAUGAACCUCUCAGCACCUUGGUUUUCUCACUGAUGAAAUAGAAUUAAUAGGAAUGUCUAACUCAGAGGGUUGUUUGGAGGAUUAAAUGAGACAACAGAAAGCACAGCAGGGCCAGAUAUGUCACAUGCACUUAAUCAGUAUUAGGUGAUAUGAUCGUUGAUAUUACCACACUUUAUGGAGGAGCAUAGGAAAUGAAGUAACUCUCCCCAAAUCAAUGGAGAUCAGACCAUAGGCUGGAACCCAGGUGUAUCUAAGGGUACAUGCCACUUGGACAUGAGCUGCGGCUAUUUGUUUUGUUACUCUGUCUGUACGAACUGACCCCAAAGAUCCUGGUCUUUCUAGUGUCCAAUGCAGCCUCCAGGGAAAGGGAAUCCAGAAAAUCAUCAGCCCAACCAGGGAAAGCUAAAGGGAUGCAUUAUUCAGUUCAAGAUAUCUUCUUCUUCCCACUCCCUUGUCCUCAUCAAUGAGAGAAGCAAAGAGUCCUUGUCCAUCCUCUUUUUCACUGACUCUCAUACCCAUAUGGCCCCAUUGACAAAUGCCAUAAGUAUUGAUGAUUACACAAAAUAGACACUCACUCAUUCAGAGAAAGUUAGCUAAAAAGAAGUGUCUUGCCUUGGUGCCCUAAAUCCAUAGAAUUCUGAAUGCCAUUAGAUUUGAAUGUCAUCAGUUGAGUUAUAAAAAGGAAUGUUUUCAGAAGCAUUAGGAGUGGAGAGGAUAAAACACAUCUGUUAAUUUGCCUAUACCCAUCUAUUCACUUAGGGGACACCUACUAUUUACCAGCCAUUGUUGUAAGUGUUCAGGCUACAAUAAUAAAUGAGAUAGACAUGGGUUCUGCCUUCAUGGAACUAGAGCCCCUAGAUGGGGAGACAUUCUUAAUCCAAUAGGGGACUAUAUAUUUAAUCACACUAGUGAUACAUUCUAGGCAAAACAAGUGCUUGAAGCUACAUUCUAGGCAAAACAAGUGCUUGAAGCUAUCAGAGUCUAGAACAAGUAGGGAGAGCUUUCCUGAGGAAGGGCCAUUCAGGCUAAGCAGGAGUUGUCUCAUUGAAGAUGAACUGUCUAAAAGGAGAAAUUUGGGGGAGCUGGAGAAGCCAGGAAGAGAAGAGUUCCAUGCUAACCUGCUAGAUGACUCUAGAAAAGUCAGCUCAGGUCCCCACAACACUUCCAUCAACACAAUAUGGCAGGAAGGAGAACUUAAUGCUCUCCAGUUCUCACAAUUUCUCUUGUUUCUCUUUCCCUAUGUCCAAACUGAGGGUAUACCAGAGAAUGAGAAGAUUCUGGUCCAGGCAAAGGAAAGAAAAACACCUUUUUGGUUAGAAUCAGGCUCUCUCCAAUGUAGGAAGCAAGUAAAAAUUGUCCUGGGAUAGAGAAACCAUCAUUUCUUUUCUCCAUAUUCAACAUCUAAUAUUAAGUUUCCCCACAAGGCUCAAAGCCCAGGGCUCCAACUCCAAAAGAAAGGCCAUGUGCAGAUUUUAUGAUUGGGCAUCCCAGAUUCUGGUUUGGUAGAUGGGCUAUGAUUGAUCUGAAUUCUCCAAUUUUCCUUACCAAUGAAAAUGAAAAGUUAAGACAACUAAUUUCUUCAGGUAGAAAGAAAAACAAUGCACUUGCAAAAAUGACUUUGGUGGCUUUACUGCUAUGAAGCAGGUACCCUAAAAACAACGGCUUUGUUCAGGAGAUACCUGUUGUGGUUGGGCUGUAUGUGAAAUUUUAGUCAGUUUGAUAAGGCCCUCUACUGGCAAUCUCCAAAAACACAGUCUCUUUCAAAUUAUUUUAAGUAAACCAUUUUAACUACUCCUAGGAAUAAAGUAUCUCACAUUCCUGAUUAAGCACAUCUGGGCUGAAAGAGUGAAAAGAAAACGAGAAAGGGAAGAAACAAAUGUCGUCAUUUCAAGUGGGCUAUUCAUUUAGCUAUUCAUAAAAUAACAUUACAUCAAGCAUCAUUUGCUUUCCUCUGAUGAAGCUAUGUUAGAUGUCAGAGGUACUUAGAAACAAAGGCUACACUAAAAUGUCUUGAGUAUUCAUGGAACCGUAAAACUAAAUUAUGAAUGUUAUUUACAAGCUACUAUAUACCAGAUUGUUUUUCUCCAUUUCCCCACACUAUUAUUAGACUAAAAGAAAUGUUGAAGACAGGCCUUUUAAAUUGCUUCUGAUAAAGCACAACUAAUAAUUAACCUCUCCCGCUUGACAACAGACCAAAAUAAAUAAAUAAAAGCAUAUGGCAACUUAAAUUUUAACUACUCAUACAAAAAGAAUAUUUUAAAAGUAAGUUAUGAAGUUAUGGUUUGACACAUUUGUCAAAGAGCUGUUAGAACAAGUGGGAAAAUUUACCUAUACAUUCCUAAAAAACCAAGUCAGUUUUUAAAAAGAGGCAGUUAAUAACUUUAGGAAAGAUUUUUGACAGAAAGGAAAUGGUAUAAUAAUUUCUCUCAACAGUAAAUGUUAUUUACAAUCAUGAUAAAAAUAAGCACCGAAUACCCAUCUAAUCGAAAUUAUGAUAUAAUUUCAUCGGAGGAUAGGGACGGUAUAGAGGGUUUAAGAAAUAUAUAUUGUAAUAUGUCAUAAUAGAAAAUAAAUGAUAAAUAAUUUGACAUUAUAAAUAGACAUAGAGAACAAUUUUAAAAUAUUGCAUAAAAGGUAGGUAAAAGAAAAUCCUCUGAGAAGUAGGACUGGGAAACUGGGUGGGGAGGGUGGUUCAGAUGACUAUUACUCUAUAUAUAUAAACAUUUCAGUACUAUCACUUAAUAUAUGUCAAGUGAUAUACAUACUAAAUAUGUAUGGUAUAGUUUUUAUAUAGUUAUUUUAGUACUAUUUGGCUUUCUAAAUUAUGAGCAUGUUAUUUUUUUUUAUUUUUUGUCUUUUUAGGGCCACACCAAUGACAUAUGGAGGCUCCCAGACCAGGGGUCAAAUUGGAGCUACAGCUGCUGGCCUACACCACAGCCACAGCAACGGAGGAUCCGAGCUGCAUCUUCAACCUACACCACAACUCAUGGCAAUGCUGGAUCCUCACUGAGUGAGGCCAGGGAUUGAACCUGAGUUUUUAUGGAUGCUAGUGAGAUUCAUUUCUGCUGAGCCAUGAUGGGAACCCCCUGUUUUUUGGGUGGUUUUUUUUUUUUUUUUUUUUUUUUUGGUUUCUAAAAACAGAGCAGCACUGAGAAUGGAACCCAUUCAGGACAUAGCUUUUGAACAGGCCUGGAUCAGUGUUCCAAGUUUCCAGAUUCAAUCUGCCAAAUGAAGCAAGGACCCUUCAUGGAAGAGUUUGUCAGGCAUGUAUCACGACAGUAACACUUGUUCCCAUGUUUCAGAACUAACGGCUGGUUUUUCAACACCAUAAUAUUGAUCUGCCAUAUUAUCAUCCAAGUUCCUAUUCCAAAAUGUGUUUGGAACUUUCUUCUUAAACUAAGUCCAUUGAGUUCUUAGAGUGCAUUCAAAUUCUACUCAAAGGAAUCACUAAUCCAGAAAGUUUAUUUCUAAGAGGAGAGAUCUGGUUUCUUGCCCUGAAAAUAUCCAGAUUAAUUAAUGUAACUACUGGGAUGUACCUUGUGUAAUCGAGGCUUCCAAAAUGACAUGACACACUUCAUUAGACAAGUAUGUAUUGGGGCAGAGUCAAUGUUGGGGCUAAUGUUCCAUGUAUCUGAGAGAUUUAUUAUUUCAUCUAUAAAGAAAGCACAAUUGGGAAUCCAAAAUUCCAAAAGCAUUAAACUUUGUAGAAUUAGAGAAGAGAGAAAAACAAGGCUCUAAGGUAUCUUGUACAUAAUGAGUUCUAUGGCUUGACAGUGUUCAGCCUCAACCAUUCUGGCUAUUACAACCACUGUCACAAAAUAAUACUACCACUUCCCUCAGUAAACCCUUCUAGGAUCAACCAAAUGGCCAACCGUUCUUUCUUUCUUUCUUUUUUUGUUAACCUAAGCCCUCUUGAUUACACUCUUGACCAAGCUGACUCAGCCUAUCAAUACCCAUACCAAGCAGGCAAAUAAUCUUGUUGUUUAGCCGUCAACUUGGGCCAACCCGCAAGGGGAUUCAUGUCUGAGACGAAAAGAAAAACAAAAAUAGCAAAGGACUGGGCAUGGAUUUUGACACUUCUGAAAGACUAGAAAAUGUGAAUCACCACUUCAGUCGGUUGGCACCUGGAAGUGUUUAUCUGAUCUGCUGUUCUGCCAGCACCAUCGGUCCAGGACGAAGACAAGGGAAAAAAAAAAAAAAAAAAAAAAA
Molecule: long non-coding RNA, 5886 nt
Filed under: Sus scrofa (pig)
Lineage: Eukaryota; Metazoa; Chordata; Mammalia; Artiodactyla; Suidae
Description: lncRNA (ENSSSCG00015001726.1)
Source: RNAcentral